UUUUUGGAGAGUUUGAUCCUGGCUCAGGACGAACGCUGGCGGCGUGCCUAAUACAUGCAAGUCGAGCGGACCGAAGGGAGCUUGCUCCUUUAGGUUAGCGGCGGACGGGUGAGUAACACGUGGGCAACCUGCCCUGCAGACUGGGAUAACUUCGGGAAACCGGAGCUAAUACCGGAUAACACCGAAAACCGCAUGGUUUUCGGUUGAAAGGCGGCUUUUAGCUGUCACUGCAGGAUGGGCCCGCGGCGCAUUAGCUAGUUGGUGAGGUAACGGCUCACCAAGGCGACGAUGCGUAGCCGACCUGAGAGGGUGACCGGCCACACUGGGACUGAGACACGGCCCAGACUCCUACGGGAGGCAGCAGUAGGGAAUCUUCCGCAAUGGACGAAAGUCUGACGGAGCAACGCCGCGUGAGCGAAGAAGGUCUUCGGAUCGUAAAGCUCUGUUGUCAGGGAAGAACAAGUACCGUUCGAACAGGGCGGUACCUUGACGGUACCUGACGAGGAAGCCACGGCUAACUACGUGCCAGCAGCCGCGGUAAUACGUAGGUGGCAAGCGUUGUCCGGAAUUAUUGGGCGUAAAG
RNAcentral lists this ribosomal RNA (583 nucleotides) under Bacillaceae bacterium. Its description in RNAcentral is "bacterial SSU rRNA". It matches the Rfam family "Bacterial small subunit ribosomal RNA", at positions 1 to 565 of the family's 1533-position model. Lineage: Bacteria; Bacillati; Bacillota; Bacilli; Caryophanales; Bacillaceae. The record is from RNAcentral.